RNAcentral lists this ribosomal RNA (441 nucleotides) under uncultured soil bacterium. RNAcentral describes it as "bacterial SSU rRNA". It matches the Rfam family "Bacterial small subunit ribosomal RNA", at positions 26 to 453 of the family's 1533-position model. The record is from RNAcentral.
AGGACGAACGCUGGCGGCGUGCUUAACACAUGCAAGUCGAGCGGUAAGACCUUUCGGGGUACACGAGCGGCGAACGGGUGAGUAACACGUGGGUGAUCUGCCCUGCACUUCGGGAUAAGCCUGGGAAACUGGGUCUAAUACCGGAUAUGACCUCCUAUCGCAUGGUGGGGUGGUGGAAAGAUUUAUCGGUGCAGGAUGGGCCCGCGGCCUAUCAGCGUUGUUGGUGGGGUAAUGGCCUACCAAGGCGACGACGGGUAGCCGACCUGGAGAGGGUGACCGGCCACGACUGGGACCUGAGACGACGGCCCAGACUCCGUACGGGAGGCAGCAGGUGGGGAAUAUUGGCACAAGUGGGCGAAAGCCUGAUGCAGGCGACGCCGCGUGGAGGAGUGACCGGCCGUUUCGGGUUACGUUAAACCGUUCUUUCAGUCGACGGACGAG